This 853-nucleotide ribosomal RNA is filed under the name Acinetobacter sp. AKB-2008-HE55. RNAcentral describes it as "bacterial SSU rRNA". It matches the Rfam family "Bacterial small subunit ribosomal RNA", at positions 22 to 869 of the family's 1533-position model. The record is from RNAcentral. Lineage: Bacteria; Pseudomonadati; Pseudomonadota; Gammaproteobacteria; Moraxellales; Moraxellaceae.
GCUCAGAUUGAACGCUGGCGGCAGGCUUAACACAUGCAAGUCGAGCGGAGAUGAGGUGCUUGCACCUUAUCUUAGCGGCGGACGGGUGAGUAAUGCUUAGGAAUCUGCCAUUUAGUGGGGGACAACAUCUCGAAAGGGAUGCUAAUACCGCAUACGUCCUACGGGAGAAAGCAGGGGAUCUUCGGACCUUGCGCUAAAUGAUGAGCCUAAGUCGGAUUAGCUAGUUGGUGGGGUAAAGGCCUACCAAGGCGACGAUCUGUAGCGGGUCUGAGAGGAUGAUCCGCCACACUGGGACUGAGACACGGCCCAGACUCCUACGGGAGGCAGCAGUGGGGAAUAUUGGACAAUGGGCGGAAGCCUGAUCCAGCCAUGCCGCGUGUGUGAAGAAGGCCUUUUGGUUGUAAAGCACUUUAAGCGAGGAGGAGGCUACUAGUAUUAAUACUACUGGAUAGUGGACGUUACUCGCAGAAUAAGCACCGGCUAACUCUGUGCCAGCAGCCGCGGUAAUACAGAGGGUGCGAGCGUUAAUCGGAUUUACUGGGCGUAAAGCGUGCGUAGGCGGCUGAUUAAGUCGGAUGUGAAAUCCCUGAGCUUAACUUAGGAAUUGCAUUCGAUACUGGUCAGCUAGAGUAUGGGAGAGGAUGGUAGAAUUCCAGGUGUAGCGGUGAAAUGCGUAGAGAUCUGGAGGAAUACCGAUGGCGAAGGCAGCCAUCUGGCCUAAUACUGACGCUGAGGUACGAAAGCAUGGGGAGCAAACAGGAUUAGAUACCCUGGUAGUCCAUGCCGUAAACGAUGUCUACUAGCCGUUGGGGUCUUUGAGACUUUAGUGGCGCAGCUAACGCGAUAAGUAGAC